GACGAACGCUGGCGGCGUGCUUAACACAUGCAAGUCGAACGGAAAGGCCCUGCUUUUGUGGGGUGCUCGAGUGGCGAACGGGUGAGUAACACGUGAGUAACCUGCCCUUGACUUUGGGAUAACUUCAGGAAACUGGGGCUAAUAUCGGAUAGGAGCUCCUGCUGCAUGGUGGGGGUUGGAAAGUUUCGGCGGUUGGGGAUGGACUCGCGGCUUAUCAGCUUGUUGGUGGGGUAGUGGCUUACCAAGGCUUUGACGGGUAGCCGGCCUGGGAGGGGGACCGGCAACCUGGCGCCUGGGAGAGGCCCCAGACGGGAACGGGGGGCAAGGGGGGAAAGCCUUACGGAGCGGGGGGGCGCGAGUGAUGAAGGUGCCCGGUGCGGAAAGCGGUGUUGGGGGUGAAAAACCUAUGUGGACGGAACCGAGCCGAGAGUGACGGUAAUGAAUAAAAAAGCCCCGGCUAACUACGUG
Molecule: ribosomal RNA, 468 nt
Filed under: uncultured bacterium
Lineage: Bacteria
Description: partial 16S ribosomal RNA
Rfam family: Bacterial small subunit ribosomal RNA
Source: RNAcentral